ACCCCACACGACGCGCGCCUCCGAGUGGCGUGGGGUGGGCAACUGCCUCGAAAGAGGCAGGCUAAGCGCGUCC
This 73-nucleotide non-coding RNA is filed under the name unclassified sequences. The record is from RNAcentral.